RNAcentral lists this long non-coding RNA (1730 nucleotides) under Anas platyrhynchos platyrhynchos (common mallard). RNAcentral's name for it is "lncRNA (ENSAPLG00000024416.1)". Lineage: Eukaryota; Metazoa; Chordata; Aves; Anseriformes; Anatidae. The record is from RNAcentral.
GGAAUAUUUUAUAUAUUUUUGUAUGUAAAUAAAUAAUAUUUAUGUAUAAUUUUCUGGAUGUCACUCAACCAUUCAUGCUUCUUCGAAUAUACAUAUAAAACACAUGUCUGUAUGUCUGUAUAUACAGCUUCCUGAACAAAAGGGCAAAAUAAUCUACUUUUUGAAAUAUGUUUUGGACUCUUUCUUUCCUAGCAGCAGUGUCUGGAAGAAGGCUGAUAUUCUCUGCUGCCCCUUAAGCAACCCCAGCUGAGAGCCCAGAAAAUGUAAGGCAGGUGCUCACAGACUGGGGCACAUCCGAGCAAGAAGGGCUUUGCUCUCUGGAGGUGGAGGAGCUCUUGAUUUGCUUAGCAAUGAGUUUAAUUGUCCUGCUGGAGAAGAACCACUCUUUAUCUGCCAAAGAAAUAAUGGGACAAGGGAUGUGCUGCCCUGAGCCGGCCGGAGGAGCAGCGCUGGCGGCAGCCGCUAGGGAUCAGCCUUGCCCCGCUCUUCAGCGCUGCGCCCGGCGCCGUCGCCGUGCUCGCCUCCCUCGCCGCCCGACCUCCGGCUUUUCACAGCUGGUUUUUCUGUCAAGUUAUUUUUCUUUGGAACGUGCGUGUUCGUUGCAGGGCAUUUUCACAUUCCCCUGCGCUUUCUCUCAUCGUUUUCAACUUCUUUGCCAUUAAUUAGCCGGCAGCGCGGGGGAUACGUUUCCUUGUAGAGAAAUUUGGGGAGUUUUGCUGCUGCAGAAGUGCAAAACUCCUGCCACUUCUGCAGACUAUUUGCUUUGGUUUAGCUAAUUUUUAUACUGUACUCUAUUGGUAAUACUAUAUUAUAAUCUUUUAGACUUCAUUUUUUCCCCCACACUCCUACCCGCUGUCAUAUCACCGCUACGACCUGGAUGUGCCCACUAGCGCUGUGCUCACACCAUGUCCUUAAGUAGCAACUUUUCCUUAGCUAUGUGCAAAUCUGGGAGGGGGGAGAAAAAAACAGACAAAGGGAAAGGAUGUUCACCUUUUCUACAAGCGUAAUCCCAUCCCAAACCCCAGUGUGCUCUCAGAGAUGGGAACACCAGUGCCAAGCCGAGUGCGGUCCCAUACGCUUGGGGUAGGGCUGGUGGGCAUCCAUCCACCAUCCGUGCCCACACCACCACAGUUACUGGUGUGCUAACUGGGGGCACCAGGGGAUGGUGAUGCCGUGCUGCUGCAUUGCCAAAGUGGCACAUGGUGGCCCUUCAAAAGCAGCAGCACAGCAGCUGCUUCCCCUGGAGCAGAGCAGUUUCAGCUCCUGUUUAGUUUCUUGCUGAGGUUUUAAUGCUGCAGUUUAGCUCGUAGUUUCCAUGUUUCAGAUAUUUCAGAACUUCACUAAUCGCCUCUCAUUUUGCACCUCGGAAGUAUAUUGGACAUGAUGAGCUGACAUAACCAGCCAUGACAAAUUAUUGUGGAGAUGUGGGAAGCACACAGAAUACAAAGGGGAACGAUGCACCAGGAACUGAGCUCCAACUUCAUCUGUGUCACAGGACCUCAGAUAUAAAUCUGUCCCAGGCAGAACUGUGUUCACUGCCAGGAUUUGUCCCAGUGCUUUAUUUAUGACUGGGAUUGUCUUCUGAAAUGAAGAGCUCCAGCUUUAAUUUGCAUGCUUUAGUGUCCAUAUAUUUACAUAAGCAAGUGCAUCUGACACGAUAUGCCUAUGUUUUGGAUGCGUGCCUUAAGUGAAACAGUUAAUCUGCAAUAAAUAUUUAUAGUUAACUACCA